RNAcentral lists this ribosomal RNA (261 nucleotides) under uncultured bacterium. RNAcentral's name for it is "partial 16S ribosomal RNA". It matches the Rfam family "Bacterial small subunit ribosomal RNA", at positions 99 to 355 of the family's 1533-position model. The record is from RNAcentral.
CGGACGGGUGAGUAACGCGUGGGGAACCGUGCCCUGUACCGGGGGAGUAGCAGCCGGAAACGGCUGAUAAUACCGCAUAAGCGCACGAAUGUCGCAUGACAUGGUGUGAAAAAACUCCGGUGGUAUAGGAUGGACCCGCGUCUGAUUAGCCUGUUGGUGGGGUAAAAGCCUACCAAAGCGAAGAUCAGUAGCCGAGUUGAGAGACUGACCGGCCACAUUGGGACUGAGACACGGCCCAGACUCCUACGGGAGGCAGCAGCC